Molecule: long non-coding RNA, 1595 nt
Filed under: Equus caballus (horse)
Lineage: Eukaryota; Metazoa; Chordata; Mammalia; Perissodactyla; Equidae
Description: lncRNA (ENSECAG00000051357.1)
Source: RNAcentral
CUCAGCUCCCACCUCCUGGCUCCCGGACCACUUGAAAAUUACCUUCCCCCGAAGGCACGCUCUCGGGGAGCCUCUAGCCUCUGUGGACUACACUCCCCAGAAUGCAAUGCGUCCCCAUCCGCCGGCGCGCUUCCGCUCCCGCCCCACGUGUUUUCUGGGAGUUGCGGUUUCUGGGGCGGAAGGUCAGCACUCGGUCACAUGCCCAUCCUUUCCAACCAGUGGAAGAGGACUAGGAAUGCGUAGCUGCUCAGAGCAAUCAAGAUUCAGUCUCUGUGGUCGGGCGCCCUGCCGUUUGGUCAGCAACGACAAAAGGGAACCGAUAACGUAACUGAACAAUCUUUCUCUACUUCAGCCCUGCAGUGACCCGGAUGCAAAACCCAGCCCCUUCCGUGGGGUUCAUUUACGACAAGCAUUUAAUGAUUCCUGUGUUCUUUACUGAAAGUUUGUGGAAUGAUGGGGAAAAGGUUCCACUGCACAACAUCCUUUAAAAUCCAUAUUAGCAUUGGCGUUAAGACUAGACACUUUUGUUCUAGAAAAAGCAGCACUCCCUUCACGUACUGCCCAGUCUUGCUGGCUCCUCUUUCCUCCUCUCCAGAUUUCUCUCAAAAAUGCAAAUUCCGUUUCCUGCUAUUAUUCAGAGCAAUUCAGUUCUUUCCCAACUCCUUUUCCACACUGGCUUCCUUAUCACCCCCAUCAUCACCAUCACUAUUACUGUUUACGGAGACCGUUGCUGUGAAAUUGGAAUCUUUGGGUUGCAAGUGAGAGAAAAGUCAACUCAAAACAGGCUUAAACAAAAAGGGAAAUGAUCAGCUCAUGUAACUAAAACUCUAGGGCUGCAGUCACAGCUGGAUCUAGGAGCUACAGUAACAUCGUCAGGACUUAAGUCUCUCUCCCUCUGUUUCCCUCUGAGGAUGAGGGGUGUGGGGCUCAUGUUCGGGCAGACUCUUUCUUACAGGAGCCCUUCAUAGCUCCAGUUUUCCUUUCUCCCAGCUUCCCAUCCACAAGGAGAGAAGAGCUCCUGACCCACCAAUUCCAAUAAAAGCCUCGAGCCCAGUUCCCAUCAGCUCAGCAUGGAUGAGGUGCCUGUUCCCAAGUCCCCAUGCGAGUGGAGAUGAAAUCUAGGGACUAGCUUAGGUGGGAUUGGGUGGUCACUCCUAGAACUGUGGGCGUCUGGGACAGCCAGCACCCAUCAGACCAUGGACCCAGAGUGGGCAAGAACCGGUUCCCUUAGGGAGAGUGGGAGACCAUCAGCAAAGAAAGGAGGAUGGAUGUUGGGUUAGACCAUGAAUGUCCCCAGGACACAUGUGUGUUAAACACUUCGUGCAGGCUACCCCAUUAAUCUUCCCAUCGACUCUACACAGGAGGGACCAUUAUGCCUGUUGAGUUGAUGAGUAAACUGAGGUGGGUAGGUAGAGGCAGUGAGAUUUGAACCCAGGCAGGAGUAGCUCCAAAGCCGAGUACAUUCAGGUGCUGCGUGGAACCAAGGGUCCCCCUGUCAACAGGCCGCCCCUCCCCAGCUGUCUGUGCUACUUGAGCACGUCCUUUGGGCUCUCACUUUCCACCCUGAGCAGCUUACCAAAGUAUUUCUGAUAAAC